Molecule: non-coding RNA, 27 nt
Filed under: Homo sapiens (human)
Lineage: Eukaryota; Metazoa; Chordata; Mammalia; Primates; Hominidae
Source: RNAcentral
UAAGCAAGGAGGUGGAUCUCUGCAAAC